RNAcentral lists this ribosomal RNA (1216 nucleotides) under uncultured Rhizaria. RNAcentral describes it as "SSU rRNA". It matches the Rfam family "Eukaryotic small subunit ribosomal RNA", at positions 577 to 1804 of the family's 1831-position model. The record is from RNAcentral.
CGGUAAUUCCAGCUCCAAUAGCGUAUACUAAAGUUGUUGCAGUUAAAAAGCUCGUAGUUGGAUUUCUGCGGGGACGGAGCGGCCGGACGCAACUUGCGUCUCGAGCUAGCGCUUUCCCCGCAUCCUGCCGCGAACCGUGCUACCAUUAGCUUGGUGGCGCUGGGGAUCGGCUCGAUUACUUUGAGAAAAAUAGAGUGUUCAAAGCAGGCCACACGCCUUGAAUAAGUUAGCAUGGAAUAAUGACUAAGGACUUUGGUUCUUUUCGUUGGUGUUCGGGACUGAAGUAAUGAUUGAUAGGGACAGUUGGGGCGGUCUGUAUUCCAAAGCGAGAGGUGAAAUUCUUAGACCUUCGGAAGACAAACAGCUGCGAAAGCGUUCCGCAAGGAUGUUCCCUUUGAUCAAGAACGAAAGUUGGGGGAUCGAAGACGAUCAGAUACCGUCGUAGUCUCAACUAUAAACUAUACCAGCUAGGGAUCGGCCAACGUUUAAUUAUUCGACAUGGUCGGCACCUUAUGAGAAAUCAAAGCAUCUGGGUUCCGGGGGGAGUAUGGUCGCAAGGCUGAAACUUAAAGGAAUUGACGGAAGGGCACCACCAGGCGUGGAGCCUGUGGCUUAAUUUGACUCAACACGGGAAAACUUACCAGGUCCAGACAUAGGAAGGAUUGACAGAUUGAUAGCUCUUUCUUGAUUCUGUGGGUGGUGGUGCAUGGCCGUUUUUAGUCGGUGAAGUGAUUUGUCUGCUUAAUUGCGUUAACGGACGAGACCCCAGCCUGCUAAAUAGCGCGGCCGAGCUUUGCUCGGUGCGAGCUUCUUAGAGGGACCAUGAUGCGCGAUAGCACAAGGAAGUUUGGGGCAACAACAGGUCUGUGAUGCCCUUAGAUGUUCUGGGCCGCACACGGGCUACACUGGCGCCUGCAACGAGCAUAUCAGCUGGCCCGAGAGGGUCUUGGCUAAUCUUUGGAACCGGCGCCGUGCUUGGGAUUGACCAUUGCAAUUGUUGGUCAUGCAACGAGGAAUGCCUUGUAAACGCGAGUCAUCAGCUCGCAUUGAAUACGUCCCUGCCCUUUGUACACACCGCCCGUCGCUCCUACCGAUGAAUGUUCCGAUGAAAUUUUCGGAGAGCGCCAGAGAACGGGGCUCUGCCUUGCAGAUCUGGAGGCUCAAAGUCACUUAAAUCUGAACAUUUCGAGGAAGGAGAAGUCGUAACAAGGUAACC